RNAcentral lists this ribosomal RNA (339 nucleotides) under Staphylococcus aureus. RNAcentral's name for it is "partial 23S ribosomal RNA". It matches the Rfam family "Bacterial large subunit ribosomal RNA", at positions 1226 to 1561 of the family's 2925-position model. The record is from RNAcentral. Lineage: Bacteria; Bacillati; Bacillota; Bacilli; Caryophanales; Staphylococcaceae.
UGGUAGGAGAGCGUUCUAAGGGCGUUGAAGCAUGAUCGUAAGGACAUGUGGAGCGCUUAGAAGUGAGAAUGCCGGUGUGAGUAGCGAAAGACGGGUGAGAAUCCCGUCCACCGAUUGACUAAGGUUUCCAGAGGAAGGCUCGUCCGCUCUGGGUUAGUCGGGUCCUAAGCUGAGGCCGACAGGCGUAGGCGAUGGAUAACAGGUUGAUAUUCCUGUACCACCUAUAAUCGUUUUAAUCGAUGGGGGGACGCAGUAGGAUAGGCGAAGCGUGCGAUUGGAUUGCACGUCUAAGCAGUAAGGCUGAGUAUUAGGCAAAUCCGGUACUCGUUAAGGCUGAGC